ACGAACGCUGGCGGCAGGCCUAACACAUGCAAGUCGAGCGCGCCCUUCGGGGUGAGCGGCGGACGGGUUAGUAACGCGUGGGAACGUGCCCAGAUCUAAGGAAUAGCCACUGGAAACGGUGAGUAAUACCUUAUACGCCCUUCGGGGGAAAGAUUUAUCGGAUUUGGAUCGGCCCGCGUUAGAUUAGGUAGUUGGUGGGGUAAUGGCCUACCAAGCCUACGAUCUAUAGCUGGUUUUAGAGGAUGAUCAGCAACACUGGGACUGAGACACGGCCCAGACUCCUACGGGAGGCAGCAGUGGGGAAUCUUGGACAAUGGGGGCAACCCUGAUCCAGCCAUGCCGCGUGAGUGAUGAAGGCCUUAGGGUCGUAAAGCUCUUUCGCCUGUGAUGAUAAUGACAGUAGCAGGUAAAGAAACCCCGGCUAACUCCGUGCCAGCAGCCGCGGUAAUACGGAGGGGGUUAGCGUUGUUCGGAAUUACUGGGCGUAAAGCGCGCGUAGGCGGAUUAGUCAGUUAGAGGUGAAAUCCCAGGGCUCAACCCUGGAACUGCCUUUAAUACUGCUAGUCUUGAGUUCAGAGAGGUGAGUGGAAUUCCGAGUG
RNAcentral lists this ribosomal RNA (599 nucleotides) under uncultured bacterium. Its description in RNAcentral is "bacterial SSU rRNA". It matches the Rfam family "Bacterial small subunit ribosomal RNA", at positions 29 to 675 of the family's 1533-position model. The record is from RNAcentral.